RNAcentral lists this unclassified non-coding RNA (250 nucleotides) under Glomeraceae sp. Its description in RNAcentral is "partial contains 5.8S ribosomal RNA and internal transcribed spacer 2". The stretch from base 1 to 71 matches the Rfam family "5.8S ribosomal RNA", at positions 84 to 154 of the family's 154-position model. The record is from RNAcentral. Lineage: Eukaryota; Fungi; Glomeromycota; Glomeromycetes; Glomerales; Glomeraceae.
GUGAAUCAUCAAAUCUUUGAACGCAAAUUGCGCUUCCUGGCAUCCCGGGAAGUAUGCCUGUUUGAGGGUCAGUAUUAAUAAAAAAACGGUUUAGUUACAAGUUGAGACGUUUCCGGAGUGUGGGCUAUCUUAACAUUUUUGGUUAAGAGGCUUAAAUUUUACCUUUAUUGCGCAUUUUUAAGCGUACAUAAAUUUUUUUUAUUGGUCUUUUCUUAAUCCCAAAAUCAUAUUAGAUGCGAUCAUAUUGUGU